AACGAACGCUGGCGGCAUGCCUAACACAUGCAAGUCGAACGAGGCCUUCGGGUCUAGUGGCGCACGGGUGCGUAACGCGUGGGAACCUGCCCUUAGGUUCGGAAUAACUCCCCGAAAGGGGUGCUAAUACCGGAUAAUGUCUUCGGACCAAAGAUUUAUCGCCUUUGGAUGGGCCCGCGUUGGAUUAGCCUGUUGGUAGGGUAAAAGGCUACCAAGGCGACGAUCCAUAGCCGGGCUGUGAGGAUGGUCAGCCACACUGGGACGGGGAAACGGCCCCGACUCCUGCCGGAGGCAGCAGUGGGUAAUAUUGGACAAUGGGCGAAAGCCUGAUCCAGCAAUGCCGCGUGAGUGAUGAAGGCCUUAGGGUUGUAAAGCUCUUUUACCCGGGAUGAUAAUGACAGUACCGGGAGAAUAAGCUCCGGCUAACUCCGUG
Molecule: ribosomal RNA, 433 nt
Filed under: uncultured bacterium
Lineage: Bacteria
Description: partial 16S ribosomal RNA
Rfam family: Bacterial small subunit ribosomal RNA
Source: RNAcentral